GGUACUGCUCUUGUUGUGUAGCAAAUUGUGACUCAUGACGAGGCUGUCCUUGACCACUAGCUCAUGCUUGACACAUUUGUGUCAUUUGCUGUUUCAGUAUUCUAUUUUUCUCAAAUACAGUAGACUCUUGUUGAACCCUCUGACCCUGAGUCUCUUGAGCACUUGUAAUAGCUUCGAUGUCAGUUAUCAUUUUUCCUUGGAUCUUGUGUUUCUAGCUUACCACAAACCGACCACCUCGACUUUCUUCACAAUUCAAAACAAAACAUGUUAGAAUGGACUCAGUCGGUCCUUAUUAUUAUCAAUAUUUUUCAUUUCUUCAUUUUUUCAUUUCUUUUUCAUGGUGAUCGAACCUGAUGUGGGUUGCCUACGUAUCAUGUGGGAACAUAAAUCAGAUCUUGUGUAGUUCGGGAAGAUCAUGAAUAAAGUAAAUAAACUAACUUUAUUUUUUUGAAUUUUUAUUUAUUUUUCGAAAGAAAAACUUUUAAAGAAGAAAGGAAACAUUUUUGGAUUUUAAUUUUUCUUCAGUGUUUUUGCAAAGAAAGACUUCUAAAGAAGAAAGAUUUUUUUUGAUUUUUUUUUUUAAUUUCUAAAGAAGAAAGAAAAUAUUAUCGGAAUUUUAUUUUGAAUUGAUGAAAGAAAUGCUUCGAAAAAAAAGAAAAUAUUUUUGAAUUUUCUUUUCAAUUCUAAAAGAAGAAUGAAAAUAUUUUUGGAUUGUUGGAAGAAAUGAAAAGAAAAUAUUUUUGUAUAUAUUUUUUUAAAAAAAAUUGGGGUCUAAAAGAAAGACUUUCUAAAGAAAGUAAUGAAAAAUAUUUUUGAUUUUGUUUUUUAGAAAAAAAUUGUGGGCCGGAACCGAUGAGGUUUGCCUACGUAUCUCACAUCCGAUGAGAAUCAGACCCGCGUAGUUUGCCCUUUUUGACGGAACAGAAAUUGACUUAUUUUGAAAUGACUUUUCCUCUUUUUUUCAAAAUUUCGGCAGAGUUUCAGGAUAAUUCAAAUACCUACUUCUCACUCUUGAUUUUUUCUCUUUGAUUUUUUUUCUUCUUUCUCUUUUUUUUUUUUAUUCUCUUUUUUUCCUUUAUUUUUCAUUUUUUUCUCUAUUCUUGAAGCUAGUCAACAUGCAAGCCGAAACAGACAGAUACGCAAAUAGCACGUAAGAUGCAUCAGGAUGGUCUUUUUAAUUUGGGUACACCUGUCCUAGACGGACUCAACCCCUGUGUUGGGUCCCCAAAGUCAAAUGCACGUGAUGCAAGCAAGCGUUCCUACUAGGGAUCCAUCAUGAGGCUGUGUUAUACUAGGGUUAAAAAUUUGGGUGUAUUGUUCGAAGUUCUGGAUUUGAAUCCCCAGCAGAGUCGCCAGAGCUGUGAAACCUCCUUUUUGCACACCUGAAGGCAAAUAUAAUGGAGUUAUUCCAAUUUAAGUGACAAUCGAAACGGGAUUAUUUAAUCAAUUUCAGAGUCGCCACUUGGGAUAAUUUAUUGUGUCCCAAGUCACCAGUUCAAAUCCCGAAUCGAGGAAAGAUUGACUCUGUUUUAUAAUCUGCGAACACAGAAAUUCAGGUAAGGAAUUCUGUUAACCCGGCAGAAGGUGUUAGGCAUUCCCAGGUUCCGUGGUUCUAGCACGGUCGCUUAAACUAUCAUAAUUGGCCUACUAUCUGAUUUUAAUACAUGUUUUAUCCUAUGGUACAAUUUUAACUUAUUAAACCACUCUUAAUUAUUUUUAUGAAGAUUCAAGGUUAUUUAAAACACGCCUUGAACCACGCCACAUGAAAUGCACCCGCGGUUCGCGACACGUUCUAUUUAACGUUGUUGAGAUUCGAAUUUGGGUCACAUGAAAUGUACACCCGAGUUGGGAAUUAUGUAUCAUGACCAUGUCACGGGAACCAUACCCAUUGUCACGACAAUUUAUUUAUUAAGAAUUUGCCUAAUAAUUUUGGAAUCAGUAAUUAUUUAUUAUGAACUAAAAGAACAAAAUGGGCCAACAACGUAUAUUUAUAAGGAUUAGAUUCACUAUAACUCUUGUUGAAUUAGGCUAAAAAAAUUAUUUGGCCCAUUAUUGAGCUUAUUUAAAGCACUAUAUCCAUCUAGCUCUAAUUCUUAAAGUUUUUUAUAUUCAGCUUCAUAAACGAACUUGAACAAGAUUUCAAAACAAUAAAUUAAUAAAGAUAAUAAAUAGAAAAAUCUUUUAUGUUCCAAAAAACUAAUCUGUUCAGCAAUUUAAGCCCUAUUUCUAUUGAUGAAUAACAAACAAGAGGGAUCCAAGUUAUAGAUUUUUAAUCUAUUCAGACAAACAAAGCAGUCACUAUAAUAUUUAGCAAUAAUGACCAUAUAAAAACAAAGGACAAACUAUACUCAGAACUAUUCAAGUGAAUUAGAGAAAAUGAGUAAAAACAUGGAUAAGAUAUGAUCAAAAAUAGAGACGAGGAACUAAAAUGAAGGGAAAGAUGAAAACAGACCUUUAUUGAUAAUUUUUCUUUUCUAUUGAAUAAAGUGGAACAAAGCUCUAGAUAUGCAUGAAAUGACCCAUCUCCGGAGCGCAAACAGAACUUUGAUAGAUCGUAGCUUCGAUCGAACCGCGACUAGAACAAGAAAAACUCACUGGAAAAUCUCGUAACUCCGCGCAUUACUUGGAUCGACUCCGACGUGUAUAUAUAUAUAUUUUUUUUUACGUGAAAUUAGUGAUUGUUUUGAAUUGUAUUGAGAGUGAAAUAGGGAAGCUACAACUGCUGAAUUUGCUAGCUUUGUUGUUGUGUUAUUCCUUGAAGAAUGAGUUGUAACGCUAGAGUUCUAAGAUCCAGGUCUAUGGAGAAAAUAGCAACUGAUUUUGGAGCUUUGCCAUGAGGUGUUGUGCUGCCGCUGUGCGUGAGUAUGUAGGGUGGUGUUGGAGGGUUCCGAUUGGGUGAGGUUGCUUAGUUUUUGUCCACCAUAGAAAAUGGGUAAAACUAUCUUUAAGAAGAAGAAGAUGAAACUCUGCUUUUUUCUCCCAUUCCCAACUUUGCCUAGAUCUAUUUUCCGUCCUUUUUUUUCAGUGUGUGCAUGUGUUAUAUAGAAAGGAAAAAACGUGAAAGGAAAGAUUCUCCAGCCCUUUUCCCUUCUUC
Molecule: long non-coding RNA, 3094 nt
Filed under: Nicotiana tabacum (common tobacco)
Lineage: Eukaryota; Viridiplantae; Streptophyta; Magnoliopsida; Solanales; Solanaceae
Description: long non-coding RNA (NTAB_LNC007282)
Source: RNAcentral